CGAGCAAGCCGGGCGAUCGCUGCUUCGCUUAAGCGCCCGUCGCACGCCCGCAAGGGUUAGAGAGGGGCAAGCAGUAGCGAAGGAGAGGAAAGUCCGAACUCCACAGGGCAGUGUGCUCGUUAACAGCGAGGGUCGGAGGAGGAUCCCUGAGCGAUCGGGGCGUACGCCUCCGGCACGGAAAGUGCCACAGAAAACAUACCGCCCCGGUUUUCCGGGGUAAGGGUGAAAAGGUGCGGUCCGUUGCAUCGGGCUUAAUGUAAGAGCGCACCGCCUCGAUAGUGAUAUCGAGGGCAGGGUAAACCCCGCAUGGAGCAAGACCAAAUAGGAGAGGAGGAGUGGCCCGCUCCGCAAGGCCCGGUAGCGGCGAUCGGUGAUGACGGUAACACCGGCCAGCCAAAAGUUGUGGUUACGGACCGCCGCUACGGGCCGGUGACUCUCGGGUAGGUCGCUUGACCCCGUCAGCAAUGGCGGGGCUAGAGGAAUGAUCGUCAUCCCGACGAACUCGGGAAACAGAAUUCGGCUUACAGGCUUGCCCGCGCU
Molecule: RNase P RNA, 540 nt
Filed under: Acidobacteriota bacterium
Lineage: Bacteria; Pseudomonadati; Acidobacteriota
Description: Acidobacteria bacterium (hot springs metagenome) RNase P RNA component class A
Rfam family: Bacterial RNase P class A
About the family: Ribonuclease P (RNase P) is a ubiquitous endoribonuclease, found in archaea, bacteria and eukarya as well as chloroplasts and mitochondria.
Source: RNAcentral